RNAcentral lists this ribosomal RNA (253 nucleotides) under uncultured bacterium. Its description in RNAcentral is "partial 16S ribosomal RNA". It matches the Rfam family "Bacterial small subunit ribosomal RNA", at positions 524 to 776 of the family's 1533-position model. The record is from RNAcentral.
UACAGAGGUCUCAAGCGUUGUCCGGAUUUAUUGGGCGUAAAGAGCGUGUAGGCGGCCAGACAGGUCCGUUGUGAAAACUAGAGGCUUAACCUCUAGACGUCGAUGGAAACCGUCUGGCUAGAGUCCGGAAGAGGAGAAUGGAAUUCCUGGUGUAGCGGUGAAAUGCGCAGAUAUCAGGAAGAACACCCGUGGCUAAGGCGGUUCUCUAGUACGGUACUGACGCUGAGACGCGAAAGCGUGGGGAGCGAACAGG